RNAcentral lists this ribosomal RNA (500 nucleotides) under uncultured bacterium. RNAcentral's name for it is "partial 16S ribosomal RNA". It matches the Rfam family "Bacterial small subunit ribosomal RNA", at positions 30 to 523 of the family's 1533-position model. The record is from RNAcentral.
AUUGAACGCUGGCGGCAUGCCUUACACAUACAAGUCGAACGGCAGCGGGGACUUCGGUCCGCCGGCGAGUGGCGAACGGGUGAGUAAUGUAUCGGAACGUACCAUUCAGUGGGGGAUAACUAUCCGAAAGGAUAGCUAAUACCGCAUAUUCUGUGAGCAGGAAAGCAGGGGAUCGCAAGACCUUGCGCUGAUUGAGCGGCCGAUAUCAGAUUAGCUAGUUGGUGAGGUAACGGCUCACCAAGGCUACGAUCUGUAGCGGGUCUGAGAGGAUGAUCCGCCACACUGGGACUGAGACACGGCCCAGACUCCUACGGGAGGCAGCAGUGGGGAAUUUUGGACAAUGGGCGCAAGCCUGAUCCAGCCAUGCCGCGUGAGUGAAGAAGGCCUUCGGGUUGUAAAGCUCUUUCGGCCGGGAAGAAAUCGCAUCAGCUAAUACCUGGUGUGGAUGACGGUACCGGAAUAAGAAGCACCGGCUAACUACGUGCCAGCAGCCGCUGUAA